UGAGGAAUAUUGGUCAAUGGGCGGAAGCCUGAACCAGCCAAGUCGCGUGAGGGAAGACGGCCCUACGGGUUGUAAACCUCUUUUGCCGGGGAGCAAUGCCCAGCUCGCGAGCUGGGAAGGAGAGUACCCGGAGAAAAAUGCAUCGGCUAACUCCGUGCCAGCAGCCGCGGUAAUACGGAGGAUGCGAGUGUUAUCCGGAUUUAUUGGGUUUAAAGGGUGCGUAGGCGGUCUGUUAAGUCAGCGGUCAAAUGUCGGCGCUCAACGCCGGCCUGCCGUUGAAACUGGCGGACUUGAGUGGGCGAGAAGUAUGCGGAAUGCGUGGUGUAGCGGUGAAAUGCAUAGAUAUCACGCAGAACCCCAGAUUGCGAAGGCAGCAUACCGGCGCCCAACUGACGCUGAGGCACGAAUGCGUGGGUAUCGAACAGGAUUAGAUACC
This 436-nucleotide ribosomal RNA is filed under the name uncultured bacterium. Its description in RNAcentral is "bacterial SSU rRNA". It matches the Rfam family "Bacterial small subunit ribosomal RNA", at positions 355 to 786 of the family's 1533-position model. The record is from RNAcentral.